CAAGGGGGGGCUGCCUAAUACAUGCAAGUCGAGCGAAUCGGAGGGAGCUUGCUCCCAAAGAUUAGCGGCGGACGGGUGAGUAACACGUGGGCAACCUGCCUGUAAGACUGGGAUAACUUCGGGAAACCGGAGCUAAUACCGGAUAAUCCUUUUCCUCUCAUGAGGAAAAGCUGAAAGACGGUUUCGGCUGUCACUUACAGAUGGGCCCGCGGCGCAUUAGCUAGUUGGUGAGGUAACGGCUCACCAAGGCAACGAUGCGUAGCCGACCUGAGAGGGUGAUCGGCCACACUGGGACUGAGACACGGCCCAGACUCCUACGGGAGGCAGCAGUAGGGAAUCUUCCGCAAUGGACGAAAGUCUGACGGAGCAACGCCGCGUGAGCGAAGAAGGCCUUCGGGUCGUAAAGCUCUGUUGUCAGGGAAGAACAAGUACCGGAGUAACUGCCGGUACCUUGACGGUACCUGACCAGAAAGCCACGGCUAACUACGUGCCAGCAGCCGCGGUAAUACGUAGGUGGCAAGCGUUGUCCGGAAUUAUUGGGCGUAAAGCGCGCGCAGGCGGUCCUUUAAGUCUGAUGUGAAAGCCCACGGCUCAACCGUGGAGGGUCAUUGGAAACUGGGGGGACUUGAGUGCAGAAGAGGAGAGUGGAAUUCCACGUGUAGCGGUGAAAUGCGUAGAGAUGUGGAGGAACACCAGUGGCGAAAGCGACUCUCUGGUCUGUAACUGACGCUGAGGCGCGAAAGCGUGGGGAGCGAACAGGAUUAGAUACCCUGGUAGUCCACGCCGUAACGAUGAGUGCUAAGUGUUAGAGGGUUUCCGCCCCUUUAGUGCUGCAGCAAACGCAUUAAGCACUCCGCUGGGGAGUACGGCGCAGCUGAAACUCAAGAUGACGGGGGCCGCACAGCGGUGGAGCAUGUGAUAUUCGAGCACGCGAGAUCUACCAGGUCUUGGACAAUCACUGACAUCUUGAGAUGCGUUACUUCGGGACAG
Molecule: ribosomal RNA, 990 nt
Filed under: Mesobacillus foraminis
Lineage: Bacteria; Bacillati; Bacillota; Bacilli; Caryophanales; Bacillaceae
Description: bacterial SSU rRNA
Rfam family: Bacterial small subunit ribosomal RNA
Source: RNAcentral